Molecule: unclassified non-coding RNA, 251 nt
Filed under: soil metagenome
Description: partial contains 5.8S ribosomal RNA and internal transcribed spacer 2
Rfam family: 5.8S ribosomal RNA (bases 1-120)
Source: RNAcentral
GAUGAAGAACGCAGCGAAAUGCGAUACGUAAUGUGAAUUGCAGAAUUCAGUGAAUCAUCGAAUCUUUGAACGCAUAUUGCGCUCUUUGGUAUUCCGAAGAGCAUGCUUGUUUGAGUAUCAGUAAACACCUCAACCUCUUCUUGAUUUUUCAAAAGGAGGGUGGACUUGAGCUAUCCCAACAACCUUUACCGGUCGGCGGGCGGCUUGAAAUGCAGGUGCAGCUGGACUUAAGCAUAUCAAUAAGCGGAGGA